RNAcentral lists this ribosomal RNA (906 nucleotides) under uncultured bacterium. RNAcentral describes it as "bacterial SSU rRNA". It matches the Rfam family "Bacterial small subunit ribosomal RNA", at positions 8 to 925 of the family's 1533-position model. The record is from RNAcentral.
AGAGUUUGAUCCUGGCUCAGAGUGAACGCUGGCGGCGUGCCUAACACAUGCAAGUCGAACGAGAACGGAUUACAGCUUGCUGUAAUUGUCAGCUAAGUGGCGCACGGGUGAGUAAUAUAUAGUUAAUCUGCCCCAAAGAAGAGAAUAAUUGUUGGAAACGACUUGUGAUGCUCUAUAUGCCUUUAUCACAUAAGUGAGCAAGGGAAAUAUUUAUAGCUUUGGGAUGAGACUGUACGGUAUCAGUUUGUUGGUGAGGUAAUGGCUCACCAAGACUAUGACGCCUAACUGGUUUGAGAGGAUGAUCAGUCACACUGGAACUGAGACACGGUCCAGACUCCUACGGGAGGCAGCAGUGGGGAAUAUUGCACAAUGGAGGAAACUCUGAUGCAGCAACGCCGCGUGGAGGAUGACACAUUUCGGUGCGUAAACUCCUUUUAUUAGGGAAGAUAAUGACGGUACCUAAUGAAUAAGCACCGGCUAACUCCGUGCCAGCAGCCGCGGUAAUACGGGGGGUGCAAGCGUUACUCGGAAUCACUGGGCGUAAAGAGCAUGUAGGCUGAUUAGUAAGUUGGAAGUGAAAUCCUAUGGCUCAACCAUAGAACUGCUUCCAAAACUGCUUAUCUAGAGUAUGGGAGAGGUAGAUGGAAUUUCUGGUGUAGGGGUAAAAUCCGUAGAGAUCAGAAGGAAUACCGAUUGCGAAGGCGAUCUACUGGAACAUAACUGACGCUGAGAUGCGAAAGCGUGGGGAGCAAACAGGAUUAGAUACCCUGGUAGUCCACGCCCUAAACGAUGCACACUAGUUGUUGCUAUGCUAGACAUAGCAGUAAUGCAGUUAACACAGUAAGUGUGCCGCCUGGGGAGUACGGUCGCAAGAUUAAAACUCAAAGGAAUAGACGGGGACCCGCA